GAUGAACGCUGGCGGCGUGCCUAAUACACGCAAGUCGAGCGAACGGACGAGAAGCUUGCUUCUCUGAUGUUAGCGGCGGACGGGUGAGUAACACGUGGAUAACCUACCUAUAAGACUGGGAUAACUUCGGGAAACCGUAGCUAAUACCGGAUAAUAUUUUGAACCGCAUGGUUCAAAAGUGAAAGACGGUCUUGCUGUCACUUAUAGAUGGAUCCGCGCUGCAUUAGCUAGUUGGUAAGGUAACGGCUUACCAAGGCAACGAUGCAUAGCCGACCUGAGAGGGUGAUCGGCCACACUGGAACUGAGACACGGUCCAGACUCCUACGGGAGGCAGCAGUAGGGAAUCUUCCGCAAUGGGCGAAAGCCUGACGGAGCAACGCCGCGUGAGUGAUGAAGGUCUUCGGAUCGUAAAACUCUGUUAUUAGGGAAGAACAUAUGUGUAAGUAACUGUGCACAUCAUGACGGUACCUAAUCAGAAAGCCACGGCUAACUACGUG
RNAcentral lists this ribosomal RNA (497 nucleotides) under uncultured bacterium. RNAcentral describes it as "partial 16S ribosomal RNA". It matches the Rfam family "Bacterial small subunit ribosomal RNA", at positions 28 to 507 of the family's 1533-position model. The record is from RNAcentral.